UACGGAGGGUGCAAGCGUUACUCGGAAUUACUGGGCGUAAAGCGUGCGUAGACGGUUAUGUAAGUCGGAUGUGAAAGCCCCGGGCUCAACCUGGGAAUUGCAUUCGAGACUGCAUAGCUAGGAUGCGGAAGAGGGAAGUGGAAUUUCCGGUGUAGCGGUGAAAUGCGUAGAUAUCGGAAGGAACAUCAGUGGCGAAAGCGACUUCCUGGUCCAGCAUCGACGUUCAGGCACGAAAGCGUGGGGAGCAAACAGG
RNAcentral lists this ribosomal RNA (253 nucleotides) under uncultured bacterium. RNAcentral describes it as "partial 16S ribosomal RNA". It matches the Rfam family "Bacterial small subunit ribosomal RNA", at positions 524 to 776 of the family's 1533-position model. The record is from RNAcentral.